Molecule: ribosomal RNA, 305 nt
Filed under: uncultured bacterium
Lineage: Bacteria
Description: bacterial SSU rRNA
Rfam family: Bacterial small subunit ribosomal RNA
Source: RNAcentral
UUUUCCUACGGGAGGCAGCAGUCGGGAAUAUUGCGCAAUGGAGGAAACUCUGACGCAGUGACGCCGCGUAUAGGAAGAAGGUUUUCGGAUUGUAAACUAUUGUCGUUAGGGAAGAUAAAAGACUGUACCUAAGGAGGAAGCCCCGGCUAACUAUGUGCCAGCAGCCGCGGUAAUACAUAGGGGGCAAGCGUUAUCCGGAUUUAUUGGGUUUAAAGGGUGCGCAGGCGGUCUGUUAAGUCAGCGGUCAAAGCCCGGGGCUCAACCCCGGCCCGCCGUUGAAACUGGCAGUCUCGAGUUGGUGAGAA